RNAcentral lists this ribosomal RNA (490 nucleotides) under uncultured bacterium. RNAcentral describes it as "partial 16S ribosomal RNA". It matches the Rfam family "Bacterial small subunit ribosomal RNA", at positions 30 to 507 of the family's 1533-position model. The record is from RNAcentral.
AUUGAACGCUGGCGGCAGGCCUAACACAUGCAAGUCGAAUGGUAACAGGAAACAGCUUGCUGUUUCGCUGACGAGUGGCGGACGGGUGAGUAAUGUCUGGGAAACUGCCUGAUGGAGGGGGAUAACUACUGGAAACGGUAGCUAAUACCGCAUAACGUCGCAAGACCAAAGAGGGGGACCUUCGGGCCUCUUGCCAUCAGAUGUGCCCAGAUGGGAUUAGCUAGUAGGUGGGGUAACGGCUCACCUAGGCGACGAUCCCUAGCUGGUCUGAGAGGAUGACCAGCCACACUGGAACUGAGACACGGUCCAGACUCCUACGGGAGGCAGCAGUGGGGAAUGUUGCACAAUGGGCGCAAGCCUGAUGCAGCCAUGCCGCGUGUAUGAAGAAGGCCUUCGGGUUGUAAAGUACUUUCAGCGGGGAGGAAGGGAGUAAAGUUAAUACCUUUGCUCAUUGACGUUACCCGCAGAAGAAGCACCGGCUAACUCCGUG